This 592-nucleotide ribosomal RNA is filed under the name Colwellia sp. C1TZA3. Its description in RNAcentral is "Bacterial large subunit ribosomal RNA". It matches the Rfam family "Bacterial large subunit ribosomal RNA", at positions 1319 to 1897 of the family's 2925-position model. Lineage: Bacteria; Pseudomonadati; Pseudomonadota; Gammaproteobacteria; Alteromonadales; Colwelliaceae. The record is from Rfam by way of RNAcentral.
GAGUGAAAAACUCCCCCGCCGAAAGACCAAGGUUUCCUGUCCCAUGUUAAUCAGGGCAGGGUAAGUCGGCCCCUAAGGCGAGGCGGAAACGCGUAGUCGAUGGGAAACAGAUUAAUAUUUCUGUACUGCUAUAUAUUGCGAAGGAGGGACGGAGUAGGCUAGGUGAGCACGGCGUUGGUAGUCCGUGUGAAAGUAUGUAGGUGGGCGACUUAGGUAAAUCCGGGUUGCUGUUAACACUGAGAUACGAGACGAGACUCUACGGAGUUGAAGUCAUUGAUGCCAUGCUUCCAGGAAAAGCUUCUAAGCUUCAGAUAUAUAGCAACCGUACCCCAAACCGACACAGGUGGUUAGGUAGAGAAUACUAAGGCGCUUGAGAGAACUCGGGUGAAGGAACUAGGCAAAAUAGUACCGUAACUUCGGGAGAAGGUACGCUCUCUAAUGUGAAUGACUUGCUCAGUAAGCAUCGGAGAGUCGAAGUAACCAGGUGGCUGGAACUGUUUAUUAAAAACACAGCACUGUGCAAAAUCGAAAGAUGACGUAUACGGUGUGACGCCUGCCCGGUGCCGGAAGGUUAAUUGAUUGGGUUAUCUUC